GAUGAACGCUAGCUACAGGCUUAACACAUGCAAGUCGAGGGGCAGCAUGAACAAAGCUUGCUUUGUUUGAUGGCGACCGGCGCACGGGUGCGUAACACGUAUCCAAUCUGCCCGCGGCUCGGGGAUAGCCCAUCGAAAGAUGGAUUAAUACCCGAUGGCGUGGUCAUUCCGCAUGGAGUUUCCACUAAAGGUUUUCCGGCCGCGGAUGAGGAUGCGUAUGAUUAGGUAGUAGGCGGGGUAACGGCCCACCUAGCCUUCGAUCAUUAGGGGUUCUGAGAGGAAGGUCCCCCACACUGGAACUGAGACACGGUCCAGACUCCUACGGGAGGCAGCAGUGAGGAAUAUUGGUCAAUGGGCGAGAGCCUGAACCAGCCAAGUAGCGUGAAGGAAGACUGCCCUAUGGGUUGUAAACUUCUUUUGUUCGGGAAUAAAGUGCAGUAUGUAUACUGUUUUGUAUGUACCGUUCGAAUAAGCAUCGGCUAAUUCCGUGCCAGCA
RNAcentral lists this ribosomal RNA (496 nucleotides) under uncultured bacterium. RNAcentral's name for it is "bacterial SSU rRNA". It matches the Rfam family "Bacterial small subunit ribosomal RNA", at positions 28 to 513 of the family's 1533-position model. The record is from RNAcentral.